Molecule: long non-coding RNA, 606 nt
Filed under: Homo sapiens (human)
Lineage: Eukaryota; Metazoa; Chordata; Mammalia; Primates; Hominidae
Description: HSALNT0402805
Source: RNAcentral
UCUGCAGCUUCACUCCUGAAGCCAGUGAGACCACAAACCCACCAGAAGGAAGAAACUCUGGACCCAUCUGAACAUCUGAAGGAACAAACUCUGGACACACCAUCUUUAGGAACUGUAACACUCACCGCAAGGGUCCGUGGCUUCAUUCUUGAAGUCAGUGAGACCAAGAACCCACCAAUUCCGGACACAAUACUAUUGGAUGUAUGUUUGUCUGGUGUUUUCUUUGAAGACAGAAUCAGAGAGGCUCAGCAAGUGCCAGAACUCAAAUUCAAGUGCAACUCUGCCUGAUGGAAACUCAGGUGAUUUCCACUCUGCCUCCACCUGCAUUCCUCAGCACCAUGCAGUUGGUCCCCAGACUCUAUGCUCCAUGCUGCUUGUGUUUGUUGGUUGGCUGGUUUUGUGUUCAUGUGUUCUGGCUUCUUCAUUUUGGGUCUUUACAUCUUUACAUCUCUAGCAGUUCUUCCCAUGUUGUGUAGCAGUUGUCUCUACAUGACGGUCUGUCUUGUGAGGUUGAGCUCCCUGAAGGCAGCAAGCAUGUAAUUGGUAAAUUCUCAUCAGUUAGCCAUGUCUGGAACAUGGUAGGUAUUCAAUAAAGGUUUUUGCUCA